UCGGUUGCUGGGCCGCGACCUUGAGGCCCAGUGACGCGCGCGCGCGGUCGGCCGGAAAAAAGAAAAAGGGCCGGCGUGUCGUGCAAGCCCAGUGAAGCAGGCUGGAGUCGCGAAACAAAAGAGGAAAAAGAAAAAAGGGCCGUUGGGCCGGUGUUGGGCUGCAGAAGAGGAAAGAAAAAGAAAAUCGGCCCGCGGGGCCCGUCGGGGAGAGGAGAUAAGGCCGGCGGGUAGAAGGAAUAGGGAAAGGUGGGGUCCGCGCCAUGGGGCCCAGCGUGCGUGAGAGAGGGUAGAGAAGGGUUGAGUAAGAAAAGUAUUCCGGGUGAUUUUCGGGAAAAAUUAGGUUUCCUUUAGUAAUUUAAUUCGUUUAAAUCCGUUUUACACCAUUUUAAUCACAGAAAUUUGUAGGAGUGUCCAAAAUUAGUGAAACCAAUUUGGUUAGGCUUGUUUUAUUUUCCUUUAUGCAUUAAAAUUUUUACACCCUAGGAAAAUAAUAAAAAUUCGGGUAUUUAUUUAAUGCCUUCCUUUUAAGGUAAUUAAAUAAAUACUUAAUAUUUAUAAAAUGUAUAAAAAGUGAAUAACACUUUAUUAAUCACAAAUAAUUCUUAACCCAUAGGAAAUUAGAUUUUCAAGUUAGGAAAUAAUUACCACUUUUUCUAAAAUUAAAAGAAAACGCUAUAAGGAGGGUUAAAUAAGAAAAAUAAAAGUGUAAGUUAAUCUUUCUAGAUUUUUGUGUGUUGGCUUGCAACUUUAUCAUGAUAAGUCGUAUAGUCCUUGUUGGCUUACAACUUUAUCAUGAAGGAAAGUUGUAUAGUCUAUUAUUCAAAAAUUUUGCAUUCUAACCCCCUGCAUGUAUUAUGCCGUAGAUUCCGAAGCACCGGAAGAAGAUUAUUGGGAAUUCUCAGAAGGACCUUCGGAAUCCGAAGAAGUGUUUGAGUUUGUUCCCUGUGAAGCUAACCCGUCAGCUUCUACUAAUCUUUUUAGCGAACAAGGCAAGCCCCGGUGCAUUUAUACCUAUCUAUUUUGGAGUCGUUAUUUCAUGUGACUAGUUGUAGGUUAAUUGCUAUAUGUAUGCACUAAGUCUAGGAGUUGAUUGAAACCUAUUCUUGUGUAUGAUCAUGCCUUGAUUUAAGGACAUCUUUGCCACUUGUUCAAACCUUAGAAACUACCCAAGUCUAGAAUUGCUUACUUGCUUACAUGCUUGGUUUACCAACCUUAAGGAAAACUCUUAAGUCAUACAUGUUGCUUAUGAAGGAUAGUUUGAAAAGUGAAAACGGACAGAAGCUAGAGAUGUAGUUCUGUCUGCUAGAUUAAUCUGAUUAAGGCCCGAUUCGUGUCUUAACUUUUGAUCAAGUGAUAAGCAUCUGAUCACUUACUGGGUAUGGGACAAGUAAAGCCCAGUAGAUUAGUAAAUUCUAUGAUCAGGAAUGCUUCGUACCCG
RNAcentral lists this long non-coding RNA (1438 nucleotides) under Setaria viridis. RNAcentral describes it as "long non-coding RNA (SVIR_LNC008382)". Lineage: Eukaryota; Viridiplantae; Streptophyta; Magnoliopsida; Poales; Poaceae. The record is from RNAcentral.